Molecule: ribosomal RNA, 253 nt
Filed under: uncultured bacterium
Lineage: Bacteria
Description: partial 16S ribosomal RNA
Rfam family: Bacterial small subunit ribosomal RNA
Source: RNAcentral
UACGUAGGGUGCAAGCGUUGUCCGGAAUUAUUGGGCGUAAAGAGCGUGUAGGCGGCCACGCAGGUCCGUUGUGAAAACUGGAGGCUCAACCUCCAGACGUCGACGGAAACCGUGUGGCUAGAGUCCGGAAGAGGAGAGUGGAAUUCCUGGUGUAGCGGUGAAAUGCGCAGAUAUCAGGAAGAACACCAAUGGCGAAGGCAGCUCUCUGGGACGGUACUGACGCUGAGACGCGAAAGCGUGGGGAGCGAACAGG